Molecule: ribosomal RNA, 301 nt
Filed under: Enterococcus gallinarum
Lineage: Bacteria; Bacillati; Bacillota; Bacilli; Lactobacillales; Enterococcaceae
Also listed under: 1 other name
Description: bacterial LSU rRNA
Rfam family: Bacterial large subunit ribosomal RNA
Source: RNAcentral
GUAGUUUGAUAUUGAGUGUCUGUACCGCAUGUACAGGAUAGGUAGGAGCCGUAGAGAUCGGGACGCCAGUUUCGAUGGAGGCAAUGGUGGGAUACUACCCUUGCGUUAUGGCCACUCUAACCCGCAGCCCUUAUCGGGCUGGGAGACAGUGUCAGAUGGGCAGUUUGACUGGGGCGGUCGCCUCCUAAAAGGUAACGGAGGCGCCCAAAGGUUCCCUCAGAAUGGUUGGAAAUCAUUCGAAGAGUGUAAAGGCAGAAGGGAGCUUGACUGCGAGAGCUACAACUCGAGCAGGGACGAAAGU